This 497-nucleotide ribosomal RNA is filed under the name uncultured bacterium. RNAcentral's name for it is "partial 16S ribosomal RNA". It matches the Rfam family "Bacterial small subunit ribosomal RNA", at positions 29 to 507 of the family's 1533-position model. The record is from RNAcentral.
UAUGAACGCUGGCGGCGUGCCUAAUACAUGCAAGUCGAGCGAACAGACGAGGAGCUUGCUCCUCUGACGUUAGCGGCGGACGGGUGAGUAACACGUGGAUAACCUACCUAUAAGACUGGGAUAACUUCGGGAAACCGGAGCUAAUACCGGAUAAUAUAUUGAACCGCAUGGUUCAAUAGUGAAAGACGGUUUUGCUGUCACUUAUAGAUGGAUCCGCGCCGCAUUAGCUAGUUGGUAAGGUAACGGCUUACCAAGGCAACGAUGCGUAGCCGACCUGAGAGGGUGAUCGGCCACACUGGAACUGAGACACGGUCCAGACUCCUACGGGAGGCAGCAGUAGGGAAUCUUCCGCAAUGGGCGAAAGCCUGACGGAGCAACGCCGCGUGAGUGAUGAAAGUCUUCGGAUCGUAAAACUCUGUUAUUAGGGAAGAACAAAUGUGUAAGUAACUAUGCACGUCUUGACGGUACCUAAUCAGAAAGCCACGGCUAACUACGUG